UUCACGUCGGGGGUGUUUGUG
Molecule: microRNA, 21 nt
Filed under: Meleagrid alphaherpesvirus 1 (Turkey herpesvirus)
Lineage: Duplodnaviria; Heunggongvirae; Peploviricota; Herviviricetes; Herpesvirales; Orthoherpesviridae
Description: hvt-miR-H17-5p
Gene: hvt-miR-H17-5p
Source: miRBase by way of RNAcentral